GACGAACGCUGGCGGCGUGCCUAAUACAUGCGAGUCGAACGCUUCUUUCCUCCCGAGUGCUUGCACUCAAUUGGAAAGAGGAGUGGCGGACGGGUGAGUAACACGUGGGUAACCUACCCAUCAGAGGGGGAUAACACUUGGAAACAGGUGCUAAUACCGCAUAACAGUUUAUGCCGCAUGGCAUAAGAGUGAAAGGCGCUUUCGGGUGUCGCUGAUGGAUGGACCCGCGGUGCAUUAGCUAGUUGGCGAGGUAACGGCUCACCAAGGCCACGAUGCAUAGCCGACCUGAGAGGGUGAUCGGCCACACUGGGACUGAGACACGGCCCAGACUCCUACGGGAGGCAGCAGUAGGGAAUCUUCGGCAAUGGACGAAAGUCUGACCGAGCAACGCCGCGUGAGUGAAGAAGGUUUUCGGAUCGUAAAACUCUGUUGUUAGAGAAGAACAAGGACGUUAGUAACUGAACGUCCCCUGACGGUAUCUAACCAGAAAGCCACGGCUAACUACGUG
RNAcentral lists this ribosomal RNA (508 nucleotides) under uncultured bacterium. RNAcentral's name for it is "partial 16S ribosomal RNA". It matches the Rfam family "Bacterial small subunit ribosomal RNA", at positions 28 to 507 of the family's 1533-position model. The record is from RNAcentral.